GGGGAAUAUUGGACAAUGGGCGCAAGCCUGAUCCAGCCAUGCCGCGUGGGUGAAGAAGGCCUUCGGGUUGUAAAGCCCUUUUGUUGGGAAAGAAAAGCAGCCGGCCAAUACCCGGUUGUUCUGACGGUACCCAAAGAAUAAGCACCGGCUAACUUCGUGCCAGCAGCCGCGGUAAUACGAAGGGUGCAAGCGUUACUCGGAAUUACUGGGCGUAAAGCGUGCGUAGGUGGUUUGUUAAGUCUGAUGUGAAAGCCCUGGGCUCAACCUGGGAAUGGCACUGGAUACUGGCAAGCUAGAGUGUGGCAGAGGGUAGUGGAAUUCCUGGUGUAGCAGUGAAAUGCGUAGAGAUCAGGAGGAACAUCCGUGGCGAAGGCGACUGCCUGGGCCAACACUGACACUGAGGCACGAAAGCGUGGGGAGCAAACA
This 426-nucleotide ribosomal RNA is filed under the name uncultured Lysobacteraceae bacterium. RNAcentral describes it as "bacterial SSU rRNA". It matches the Rfam family "Bacterial small subunit ribosomal RNA", at positions 356 to 774 of the family's 1533-position model. Lineage: Bacteria; Pseudomonadati; Pseudomonadota; Gammaproteobacteria; Lysobacterales; Lysobacteraceae. The record is from RNAcentral.